AGGGUUGUAGCUCAGUAGUAGAGCGCUUGCCUAGCAUGUAGGAGGCACUGGGUUUGAUUCUCAACACUG
This 69-nucleotide transfer RNA is filed under the name Ictidomys tridecemlineatus (thirteen-lined ground squirrel). RNAcentral's name for it is "Spermophilus tridecemlineatus (thirteen-lined ground squirrel) tRNA". It matches the Rfam family "tRNA". From Rfam's summary of the family: Transfer RNA (tRNA) molecules are approximately 80 nucleotides in length. Their secondary structure includes four short double-helical elements and three loops (D, anti-codon, and T loops). RNAcentral also lists the same sequence under 1 other name. Lineage: Eukaryota; Metazoa; Chordata; Mammalia; Rodentia; Sciuridae. The record is from Rfam by way of RNAcentral.